Molecule: transfer RNA, 56 nt
Filed under: Weissella viridescens
Lineage: Bacteria; Bacillati; Bacillota; Bacilli; Lactobacillales; Lactobacillaceae
Rfam family: tRNA
About the family: Transfer RNA (tRNA) molecules are approximately 80 nucleotides in length.
Source: Rfam by way of RNAcentral
GGUAGAGCACACGACUGUUAAUCGUGUUGUCGUCGGUUCGAGCCCGACAUUCGGAG